This 460-nucleotide ribosomal RNA is filed under the name uncultured bacterium. RNAcentral's name for it is "partial 16S ribosomal RNA". It matches the Rfam family "Bacterial small subunit ribosomal RNA", at positions 338 to 795 of the family's 1533-position model. The record is from RNAcentral.
CCUACGGGAGGCAGCAGUGAGGAAUAUUGGUCAAUGGACGAGAGUCUUAACCAGCCAAGUCGCGUGAAGGAUGACUGCCCUAUGGGUUGUAAACUUCUUUUAUAUGGGAAUAAAUUGUUCCACGUGUGGGAUUUUGUAUGUACCAUAUGAAUAAGGCUCGGCUAACUCCGUGCCAGCAGCCGCGGUAAUACGGAGGAUCCGAGCAUUAUCCGGAUUUAUUGGGUUUAAAGGGUGCGUAGGUGGAAUGUUAAGUCCGUUGUGAAAGUUUGCGGCUCAACCGUAAAAUUGCAGUUGAAACUGGCAGUCUUGAGUACAGUAGAGGUGGGCGGAAUGCGUGGUGUAGCGGUGAAAUGCUUAGAUAUCACGAAGAACUCCGAUUGCGAAGGCAGUUCACUGGACUGCAACUGACACUGAGGCUCGAAAGUGUGGGUAUCAAACAGGAUUAGAUACCCGAGUAGUC